UACAGAGGGUGCGAGCGUUGUUCGGAAUUAUUGGGCGUAAAGGGCGCGUAGGCGGUUUGUCGCGUCUGCUGUGAAAACUCGGGGCUUAACCCCGGGCCUGCAGUGGGUACGGGCAGACUAGAGUGCGGUAGGGGAGACUGGAAUUCCUGGUGUAGCGGUGAAAUGCGCAGAUAUCAGGAGGAACACCGGUGGCGAAGGCGGGUCUCUGGGCCGUAACUGACGCUGAGGAGCGAAAGCGUGGGGAGCGAACAGG
RNAcentral lists this ribosomal RNA (253 nucleotides) under uncultured bacterium. RNAcentral describes it as "partial 16S ribosomal RNA". It matches the Rfam family "Bacterial small subunit ribosomal RNA", at positions 524 to 776 of the family's 1533-position model. The record is from RNAcentral.